Molecule: ribosomal RNA, 292 nt
Filed under: uncultured bacterium
Lineage: Bacteria
Description: partial 16S ribosomal RNA
Rfam family: Bacterial small subunit ribosomal RNA
Source: RNAcentral
GUGCCAGCCGCCGCGGUAAUACAGAGGGUGCAAGCGUUAAUCGGAAUUACUGGGCGUAAAGCGAGCGUAGUCGGUUAUUUAAGUCGGAUGUGAAAUCCCCGGGCUCAACCUGGGAAUUGCAUUCGAUACUGGAUAGCUAGAGUUCGGCAGAGGGAAGCGGAAUUUCUGGUGUAGCGGUGAAAUGCGUAGAUAUCAGAAGGAACAUCAGUGGCGAAAGCGGCUUCCUGGACCAGAACUGACGAUCAGGCUCGAAAGCGUGGGGAGCAAACAGGAUUAGAUACCCUCGUAGUCC